GACGAACGCUGGCGGCGUGCUUAACACAUGCAAGUCGAACGGAAAGGCCCUGCUUUUGUGGGGUGCUCGAGUGGCGAACGGGUGAGUAACACGUGAGUAACCUGCCCUUGACUUUGGGAUAACUUCAGGAAACUGGGGCUAAUACCGGAUAGGAGCUCCUGCUGCAUGGUGGGGGUUGGAAAGUUUCGGCGGUUGGGGAUGGACUCGCCGCUUAUCAGCUUGUUGGUGGGGUAGUGGCUUACCAAGGCUUUGACGGGUAGCCGGCCUGAGAGGGUGACCGGCCACAUUGGGACUGAGAUACGGCCAGACUCCUACGGGAGGCAGCAGUGGGGAAUAUUGCACAAUGGGCGGAAGCCUGAUGCAGCAACGCCGCGUGCGGGAUGACGGCCUUCGGGUUGUAAACCGCUUUCGCCUGUGACGAAGCGUGAGUGACGGUAAUGGGUAAAGAAGCACCGGCUAACUACGUG
This 467-nucleotide ribosomal RNA is filed under the name uncultured bacterium. RNAcentral's name for it is "partial 16S ribosomal RNA". It matches the Rfam family "Bacterial small subunit ribosomal RNA", at positions 28 to 507 of the family's 1533-position model. The record is from RNAcentral.